RNAcentral lists this ribosomal RNA (112 nucleotides) under Acanthosepion pharaonis. Lineage: Eukaryota; Metazoa; Mollusca; Cephalopoda; Sepiida; Sepiidae. The record is from RNAcentral.
ACAGCCACAUCAUGUUGAAACAUUGGUUCCCAUGUGAUCACCAAAGUUAAGCAACAUCAAGCCUGGUUAGUACCUAGAUGGGUGACCACUUGAAAAUACCAGGUGCUGCAAG